GUGAGGAAUUUUCCGCAAUGGGCGAAAGCCUGACGGAGCAAUGCCGCGUGAAGGAUGAAGGCCUAUGGGUUGUAAACUUCUUUUCUCAGAAAAGAAUUAUGACGGUAUCUGAGGAAUAAGCAUCGGCUAACUCUGUGCCAGCAGCCGCGGUAAGACAGAGGAUGCAAGCGUUAUCCGGAAUGAUUGGGCGUAAAGCGUCUGUAGGUUGUUUAAAAAGUAUUCUGUCAAAGAUUAGGGCUUAACCCUAGAUAGGAAGAAUAAACUUUUAAGCUAGAGUUUGGUAGAGGCAGAGGGAAUUCCCGGUGGAGCGGUGAAAUGCGUAGAUAUCGGGAGGAACACCAAAGGCGAAGGCACUCUGCUGGGCCAAUACUAACACUGAGAGACGAAAGCGAGGGGAGCAAAUGGGAUUAGAAACCCCUGUAGUCC
Molecule: ribosomal RNA, 426 nt
Filed under: uncultured bacterium
Lineage: Bacteria
Description: partial 16S ribosomal RNA
Rfam family: Bacterial small subunit ribosomal RNA
Source: RNAcentral